This 920-nucleotide long non-coding RNA is filed under the name Homo sapiens (human). Its description in RNAcentral is "HSALNT0403380". The record is from RNAcentral. Lineage: Eukaryota; Metazoa; Chordata; Mammalia; Primates; Hominidae.
CGAGUAGCUGGAUAAAUUAAUAUUUUAAAAACAUCCUCACCGAACAGAUGAACUUCUCGAAGAGCGCAAAGAAGAUAAUCUGUCUGUUCCAUGAAACGUGAGCUGGGCAGCAGAGGACCAUUUACAAAACCGUUCACCCACACAUUGGCAGAUUGGUAUUGAUUGACAGCUGGGAGUUAAGCUGGUACUGCUCUGAAGUCGCCAUGACCUCUAACCUAGAUGGCUACAAUACCUACUACGACUUCUCCUUGCCUCCAGGUUUGCCUCUCUACAUUCUAUUCUCAACAAAGCAACCAGGGUGAUUCACCUGAAACAUACAAGUCACAUCACGUCACCUCAUGUUACUGUAAUAGAUUUUCAUCUUCUCAGGAUGGAAGUGAAGAGUUAUUAGAAUACCAUAAAGAGACUAUGUUAUGUGUUCCCCAAAUGCCACCCCCCUACUAUACUGGCUUCAUAUUAUACUCUCACCCUUUCUCUUUCUGCUCUGAGCUGUUAGUUGUCUUGUUGUGUCUCCACCAUAAUAUAUAUGUUGCUAACUCAUGGCCUUUAUGCAUAUGGUUCUGAUAAUUUUCUUCCUCAGAUAAAGUUUCACACUCACUUUAUCCUUCAGGUGUUUCUCCUAUAUGUCACCUAUCAGUGAAAUCUACACUGGCUACCAUGUAGCAUGCCCCCAUCCUCCAACCAUGCCUUGACACCAUCUCCCCAAUUUAUUGCUUUAAUUUUCCUCAUACAAUUUAUUGCCACUUGACUUGACACAUAUUUACUCAUUAUCUGUUUAUUGCCAGUCCAUCACCAGAAUAUUUAAUGAAUACAGAAUAAAUACGUGUUAAAUGAAUGAAUAAAUUAAUACCUAAAAGACAGGAGUUGAGUUUUACUUCUAUACCAGAGGCAGAUAAUCUAAAGCCCUCAGACUAAAUCUA